RNAcentral lists this ribosomal RNA (261 nucleotides) under Triticum aestivum (bread wheat). RNAcentral's name for it is "partial small subunit ribosomal RNA". The record is from RNAcentral. Lineage: Eukaryota; Viridiplantae; Streptophyta; Magnoliopsida; Poales; Poaceae.
AUGACGAGAUUGCCAGACAUUGUGAUCGUCCUUGAUCAGCAAAAAGAGUAUAUAGCUCUUCGCGAAUGUGCCAUUUUGGGGAUUCCUACUAUUUCUUUAGUCGAUACAAUUUGUGACCCGGAUCUCGCGAAUAUAUCGAUUCCAGCCAACGAUGACACUAUGACUUCAAUUCGAUUGAUUCUUAACAAAUUAGUAUUUGCAAUUUGUGAGGGCCGUUCUCUCUAUAUAAGAAAUCUUCAGAAAACAGACAGAAAAUACUAA